RNAcentral lists this transfer RNA (99 nucleotides) under Zhongshania antarctica. RNAcentral's name for it is "tRNA-OTHER". It matches the Rfam family "transfer-messenger RNA", at positions 275 to 374 of the family's 374-position model. From Rfam's summary of the family: Bacterial tmRNA, also known as 10Sa RNA or SsrA, is named for its dual tRNA and mRNA-like properties. Its role is to liberate the mRNA from a stalled ribosome. Lineage: Bacteria; Pseudomonadati; Pseudomonadota; Gammaproteobacteria; Cellvibrionales; Spongiibacteraceae. The record is from RNAcentral.
GGGCUGUAUGCGGCUAAAUUAAUUGACGGAAACCAAGCAUGUGAAGAGCCAUAAGCAGCGGACUGGCGGACGCGGGUUCAAUUCCCGCCGGCUCCACCA